AGCGUAAUCACUUGUUCUUUAAUUGUGGACUAGUAUGAAUGGCACCACGAGGGUUAUACUGUCUCCUUUUUCUAAUCAGUGAAACUAAUCUCCCCGUGAAGAAGCGAGGAUAUAAAUAUAAGACGAGAAGACCCUAUGGAGCUUAAAACAUCAUAGCAACUGCCACUACAACAUAUAAAUUUCUGAAUGCUUUACUCUUUCGGUAAAAUGACUAUAAGUUUUUGGUUGGGGUGACCACGGAGCAUAAAACAACCUCCACAUUGAAAGACUUAAAACCUCUAAGCUAAGACCUACAAAUCUAGGCAUCAGCACACUGACAUUCAUUGACCCAAUAUAAUUGAGCAACGAACCAAGUUACCCUAGGGAUAACAGCGCAAUCCACUUCAAGAGCCCCUAUCGACAAGUGGG
Molecule: ribosomal RNA, 408 nt
Filed under: Sclerophrys arabica (Arabian toad)
Lineage: Eukaryota; Metazoa; Chordata; Amphibia; Anura; Bufonidae
Description: partial large subunit ribosomal RNA
Rfam family: Bacterial large subunit ribosomal RNA
Source: RNAcentral